UGGGGAAUUUUGGACAAUGGGGGCAACCCUGAUCCAGCCAUGCCGCGUGUGUGAAGAAGGCCUUCGGGUUGUAAAGCACUUUCGGCCGGAACGAAAUCGCCUCCGUUAAUAGCGGGGGUGGAUGACGGUACCGGAAGAAGAAGCACCGGCUAACUACGUGCCAGCAGCCGCGGUAAUACGUAGGGUGCGAGCGUUAAUCGGAAUUACUGGGCGUAAAGGGUGCGCAGGCGGCCCCGCAAGUCAGGCGUGAAAUCCCCGGGCUUAACCUGGGAAUGGCGCUUGAAACUACGGGGCUGGAGUGUGGCAGAGGGAGGUGGAAUUCCACGUGUAGCGGUGAAAUGCGUAGAGAUGUGGAGGAACACCGAUGGCGAAGGCAGCCUCCUGGGUCAACACUGACGCUCAUGCACGAAAGCGUGGGGAGCAAACAGG
RNAcentral lists this ribosomal RNA (429 nucleotides) under uncultured bacterium. Its description in RNAcentral is "bacterial SSU rRNA". It matches the Rfam family "Bacterial small subunit ribosomal RNA", at positions 355 to 776 of the family's 1533-position model. The record is from RNAcentral.